UGGGGAAUCUUCCGCAAUGGGCGAAAGCCUGACGGAGCAACGCCGCGUGAACGCAUGAAGGUCUUAGGAUCGUAAAGUUCUGUUGUUAGGGACGAAGGGUAAGAAUAAUAAUACGGUUUUUAUUUGACGGUACCUAACGAGGAAG
This 145-nucleotide ribosomal RNA is filed under the name uncultured bacterium. RNAcentral's name for it is "partial 16S rRNA". It matches the Rfam family "Bacterial small subunit ribosomal RNA", at positions 355 to 490 of the family's 1533-position model. The record is from RNAcentral.